GGCUGCGUAGUUCAGUGGUGGAACGCCUGUCUCAUGAGCAGGAGGCCGGGAGUUCAAUUCUCCCCGCAGCCA
Molecule: transfer RNA, 72 nt
Filed under: Candidatus Pacearchaeota archaeon CG10_big_fil_rev_8_21_14_0_10_34_76
Lineage: Archaea; Nanobdellati
Description: tRNA-Met
Rfam family: tRNA
About the family: Transfer RNA (tRNA) molecules are approximately 80 nucleotides in length. Their secondary structure includes four short double-helical elements and three loops (D, anti-codon, and T loops). Further hydrogen bonds mediate the characteristic L-shaped molecular structure. tRNAs have two regions of fundamental functional importance: the anti-codon, which is responsible for specific mRNA codon recognition, and the 3' end, to which the tRNAs corresponding amino acid is attached (by aminoacyl-tRNA synthetases). tRNAs cope with the degeneracy of the genetic code in two manners: having more than one tRNA (with a specific anti-codon) for a particular amino acid; and 'wobble' base-pairing, i.e. permitting non-standard base-pairing at the 3rd anti-codon position.
Source: RNAcentral